AUGGCGGCCGCCGGCGGCCGGGGGCGGGGGUGGGGGUGGGGGCUGCGGCAGCAGCGGCAGCAGCAGCUCCGGCCUCGGCUCCGUCGGUCCGGCUCCGGCCUCAGCCGAGCACCAGCAGCACCACCUGCUGCCGCCGAGCCCGCGGCCUGCACUGGGGCGCGCGCGGGGGAGGGGCGCGUGCGCGGGAAAGGGCGCGUGCGCGUGCGCGGCUCGGAGCGCGCCCCCGCCGCGAGGAACCGCGCUCCCACCGCCCCGCGUCCGGGCUCCGGCCUCGGCCUCGGCUCCGGCCCGGUCGUCGAGCAGCCGCCUAGUCCCUCACCCCAGGAUGCCAGGCCCUCUCCUCCCCAACGCGCCCCCCGCGGUCUCGGACGCCAAGGCUUCGUUCUCACCCCGCCCCCACACUCCUGGCGACACUCGCUGCGUUCUCCCCGCCUCCCUUCCCUCCCCUUCCCUGACCUCAUUCGGAGCCGGCUUUCCCCUCCCCCUCCCCCGCCUCCCUACUGCCCUUCUUCUCUCCUCCUUCCCCUUCUCCCGUCCCUCUCCUUCUCUCCCUCUCUCCUUGUCCUCCUAUCUCUCCUCCCUCUCUCCUUUCCUUCUCUCCUCUCCCCUUCUUUCCCUUUCUCUUUCUUUUCCCUCCCCCUCCUCUCCCUCCCCUUCUGUCCCUCUCUCCUCUUCCUCUUUCCUUCUCCUCUCCUUCCCCUUGUCCUUCUCUUCCUCUCUCCUUGUCCUCCUUUCCCUCUCUUCUUGUCCUCCUCUCCAUCUCCCCUUCUCUUCUUUCCCUUCCCCUUCUGCUCUCCCUCCCCCCUCUCCCUCUCCUUCUCCUGUUCCUCUCUCCUCUUCCUCUUUCCUUCUCUCCCUCUCUCCUUGUCCUCCUCUCCUCUCUUCUCUACCAUUCUCCAUCUUUUUACCCUCCUCUUCUCUCCCUCUCCCUCUCUCCUUCUUUACCUCCCCUUUUUCUUUUCUCCCUCUCUGCUUGUCCUCCUAUCCAUCUCUUCUCUCCCUUUCCCCAUCUCUUUCCCUUCCCCUUUUGCUCUCCCUCGCUCCUUCUCCUUCUCUCCUUCCCUUUUUUCUCCUCUCCCCUUCUCUCUCUUUCUUUUUCUUUUCCCUCCCUCCUCUUCUCCUGUCCUCUCCUCUCCCUCUUUCCUUCUCUCCCACCCCUUUUCCUUCUCUCCCUCUCUCCUUUCCCCCCUUCUUUCUCUUCCUCUCUCCCUCCCCUUCUCCUCUCUCUCCUUUCCUUCUCUCCUUACCUUCUUUCCUGUCCCUCUCCCCUUCUCUUCUCCUCCUCUCCCCUUCUCUCCCUCCCCUUCUCUCCCUCCCCUUCUCUCCUCUCCUUCUCCCUCUCUCUUUUCCCCUUCUCUUCUCCCUUUCUUUCUUUCCCUUCACCUUUUCUCCCUCUCUCCUAUUCUCCCUUUCUCCUGUCUCUGCUCCCCUUCUCUCCCUCACCCUUUUCUCUCCUGUUUCCCUUCUUCCUCCUCUCUUUCUCUCCAUCCUUUCCCCCCUCCCCCUUUCUCCUUCACCCUUUUCUUUUUUUCUCUCUUCCUUCCCUCUCCCUUCCUGACUAGGGUAGAAUUCGGUCACCCCAAUGCCUUAGUUCAUAGGACCGUAGAAAAUCUGCAGGUUUUCUAG
Long non-coding RNA from Phascolarctos cinereus (koala), 1626 nucleotides. NCBI's taxonomy places the organism in Eukaryota, Metazoa, Chordata, Mammalia, Diprotodontia, Phascolarctidae. The record is from Ensembl.